This 439-nucleotide ribosomal RNA is filed under the name uncultured bacterium. Its description in RNAcentral is "partial 16S ribosomal RNA". It matches the Rfam family "Bacterial small subunit ribosomal RNA", at positions 339 to 795 of the family's 1533-position model. The record is from RNAcentral.
CUACGGGUCGCUCCAGUGGGGAAUAUUGCACAAUGGAGGAAACUCUGAUGCAGCAACGCUGCGUGGAGGAUGACGCAUUUCGGUGUGUAAACUCCUUUUAUAUGUCAAGAAAAUGACGGUAGCAUAUGAAUAAGCACCGGCUAACUCCGUGCCAGCAGCCGCGGUAAUACGGAGGGUGCAAGCGUUACUCGGAAUCACUGGGCGUAAAGGACGCGUAGGCGGGUUGGAAAGUCAGGUGUGAAAUCCUACAGCUUAACUGUAGAACUGCACUUGAAACUUCUAAUCUAGAGUAUGGGAGGGGGAGAUGGAAUUAAUGGUGUAGGGGUAAAAUCCGUAGAUAUCACUAGGAAUACCUAAAGCGAAGGCGAUCUCCUGGAACAUUACUGACGCUAAGGCGUGAAAGCGUGGGGAGCAAACAGGAUUAGAUACCCGUGUAGUC